UCCUUCAAAUUUUCAUUUCAUUUCAUCUCUUCAAAAAUAUUCAAACAGUGGACAGUUCGAAAGAAAGGAAAGAUAGGUGUAUCAGCUGAUGAUCGGAAACAAGGAACUCUAAUUAGUAGUAAUCGGAGUUUUUCACUUACCAUCUGUUAAGGAAUACUAUUGAAUCGACCAAUUCGAAUCAGGCAAUUUGUAUUUUGAUUCCACCUCUGGCUCGGACGUAAUUUCAUGUUGGAAUAUGAGGAUGUAUGUGCGUGAAGAAGGAGAGAGAAAAAAGAGCUUCAACAAAAAAAAAAGAGAAAAGAAGAGACGCGCAUAUAGGGUUUUAGUUUGAAAUAAAGAGAUGCAAAAGAUAAAAAAGAUAGAUAAGGAUAGACAGAAAGAAGAGCAAACUAGCGUAGCAGUGGAGCGAUAGAUAGAAUGCAACGAUUGUAAUCCUUUGUACACACUUUGUUUUAGUUGAAAUUUAAGCUUUUCAUAAAAGGAUAAAAGCGAAUCGCUAAGAAAAUAGGAAGGCUUCCUUCUUUGAAUCAAAGAUUCCACUUCACCGUAGAAAAGUUGUGUUGGGAGUGGAGUCUUUCGAGGCUUGUCUGCAUAACAUGUCCUUACCCAGUAAAUUUCACUGCUGAUGGUCUGUGAUUAAAU
Octopus sinensis (East Asian common octopus) is the source of this 642-nucleotide long non-coding RNA. RefSeq lists it as uncharacterized. NCBI's taxonomy places the organism in Eukaryota, Metazoa, Mollusca, Cephalopoda, Octopoda, Octopodidae. The transcript has 3 exons. The record is from RefSeq and is a predicted model, not a curated record.